UAUACCCCAUUAUUUGCCCGACCCCUGUCUGCUCAGUUUUAGGUUGGGGUGACCACGGAGUAUAAAAUAACCUCCAUGAAGAAGGGGAUAUUUCCCUUAUUAGAGAACCACACUUCCAAGAACUAAUAAAUUAAUUUUCAAUGACCCGAUACCCGAUAAUCGAUCAACGAACCAAGUUACCCUGGGGAUAACAGCGCAAUCCACCCUGAAAGCCCUUAUUAACAGGUGGGUUUACGACCUCGAUGUUGGAUCAGGGUAUCCCAGUGGUGCAGCAGCUACUGAGGGUUCGUUUGUUCAACGAUUAAAACCCU
This 311-nucleotide ribosomal RNA is filed under the name Boophis quasiboehmei. RNAcentral's name for it is "partial 16S ribosomal RNA". It matches the Rfam family "Bacterial large subunit ribosomal RNA", at positions 2232 to 2597 of the family's 2925-position model. The record is from RNAcentral. Lineage: Eukaryota; Metazoa; Chordata; Amphibia; Anura; Mantellidae.